AUGCGCAGUCCUGGCCAGUUGGGCCGUCGGGUGUCGUUGUUGGAGAUGGACAAGAAGCUUGCUUCAUGCAUCAACAAUGAUGCCAGCAUAGAGAUUUGGGUGAUGCAAGACUAUGAGGCUGAGGUCUGGGCCUUGAAGUACCGGAUUAACUUGUUGAAUACAUCACCACAGUUCAAGUUUAUUUCUAAGAUGGCACUGCUUAACCAGCAUGAGCUGCUGAUCUGUUGUCACACUCCAUCGGCGGGUCCUGAUUAUCUGUUGCAUUGUGACACUGACGGAAAGUUUUUGGGAUAUUACGAGAUGAAAGAGGGAACAUAUUCAACAUACUUCACAAAUCAGUACUUUCAAGAGAGCAUGAUUCCACUUCCGUUCUGUGAGAUGCAAGAAGAAGGUGGUUUGGAUAAGGAGCCUCCAUUCUUCAUAGGGCUAUAA
This 432-nucleotide ribosomal RNA is filed under the name Triticum aestivum (bread wheat). RNAcentral describes it as "partial small subunit ribosomal RNA". The record is from RNAcentral. Lineage: Eukaryota; Viridiplantae; Streptophyta; Magnoliopsida; Poales; Poaceae.